CUCUGCAUUAGGGGGGCCAGCGGACGUGAUGAUGGUGUUUACGAAGAGGGAUUUCUACCUCACCCUCGCUCCCUAGAGAUAGCAUAUGUAUCCUAAGCCUCUGAGGAAGGGUCGUGUGAAACCCGUAGGACAUGAGAGAGAUUUUUGCACAGCACUUCAAAGUCUGGAAGAGACAGAGUCAAGAGCCAUGGCAAGCCCAGGAGAAGGUAGGCGGGAGGAGGUCUCCAGAGCAUCUGGUGUACGAGACCAGAUUUCAGAUCUGAGCUGCUCCAGGAUGUUUUCUGAGACCUGGGAUGGAAACAGGAUGGACCAUCGAGAACCUGACUGUCCUUGGAUUCCUCCCUUCCGUCGUUCAACAAAUACGUCUUAGAGGCCUGUUAAGUGCCAAGCAGGGGCCUGGAGCCCCAACAUGAACAAGAUAGGGCUGCCUUUGUCCUCUUCUUUUUUUUAUGUUUAUUUAUUCUUGAGAGAGAGAGAAACAGAGUGUGAG
This 490-nucleotide long non-coding RNA is filed under the name Felis catus (domestic cat). Its description in RNAcentral is "lncRNA (ENSFCAG00000047298.1)". Lineage: Eukaryota; Metazoa; Chordata; Mammalia; Carnivora; Felidae. The record is from RNAcentral.